RNAcentral lists this non-coding RNA (29 nucleotides) under Mus musculus (house mouse). The record is from RNAcentral. Lineage: Eukaryota; Metazoa; Chordata; Mammalia; Rodentia; Muridae.
UGUGUGAAGUAUUUGAUCCAAACAGUGUU